GCGCCCAUAGCUCAACUGGAUAGAGCAUCAGUCUUCGGAACUGAGGGUUGGGGGUUCAAAUCCCUCUGGGCGCA
This 74-nucleotide transfer RNA is filed under the name Ignavibacteriales bacterium. It matches the Rfam family "tRNA". Rfam says of the family: Transfer RNA (tRNA) molecules are approximately 80 nucleotides in length. The record is from Rfam by way of RNAcentral. Lineage: Bacteria; Pseudomonadati; Ignavibacteriota; Ignavibacteria; Ignavibacteriales.